Molecule: non-coding RNA, 72 nt
Organism: Bos taurus (domestic cattle)
Lineage: Eukaryota; Metazoa; Chordata; Mammalia; Artiodactyla; Bovidae
Source: Rfam
UCCCGGGUGGCUCAGAGAUUAAAGCCUCUGCCUGCAAUGCAGGAGACCCGGGUUCGAUCCCUGGGUCAGGAA